CCUGCAUGAAGUUGGAAUUGCUAGUAAUCGCGAAUCAGAAUGUCGCGGUGAAUACGUUCCCGGGCCUUGUACACACCGCCCGUCACACCAUGAGAGUCGAUAACACCCGAAGCCUGUGAGCUAACCUUUUAGGAGGCAGCAGUCGAAGGUGGGGUUGAUGAUUGGGGUGAAGUCGUAACAAGGUACC
This 187-nucleotide ribosomal RNA is filed under the name uncultured bacterium. RNAcentral's name for it is "partial 16S ribosomal RNA". It matches the Rfam family "Bacterial small subunit ribosomal RNA", at positions 1315 to 1500 of the family's 1533-position model. The record is from RNAcentral.